UACGGAGGGGGCUAGCGUUAUUCGGAAUUAUUGGGCGUAAGGGGCGUGUAGGCGGCUUCGUGUGUCCCAUGUGGAAGCCCUCGGCUUAACCGAGGAACUGCAUGGGAAACUGCGGAGCUUGAGUCCGGGAGAGGAGAGCGGAAUUCCCAGUGUAGCGGUGAAAUGCGUAGAUAUUGGGAGGAACACCAGUGGCGAAGGCGGCUCUCUGGACCGGUACUGACGCUGAGACGCGAAAGCCAGGGGAGCAAACGGG
Molecule: ribosomal RNA, 253 nt
Filed under: uncultured bacterium
Lineage: Bacteria
Description: partial 16S ribosomal RNA
Rfam family: Bacterial small subunit ribosomal RNA
Source: RNAcentral